This 75-nucleotide transfer RNA is filed under the name Bacteroidales bacterium. RNAcentral's name for it is "tRNA-Val". It matches the Rfam family "tRNA". From Rfam's summary of the family: Transfer RNA (tRNA) molecules are approximately 80 nucleotides in length. Their secondary structure includes four short double-helical elements and three loops (D, anti-codon, and T loops). The record is from RNAcentral. Lineage: Bacteria; Pseudomonadati; Bacteroidota; Bacteroidia; Bacteroidales.
GGUCUUAUAGCUCAGUGGAAGAGCGCUACCUUGACAUGGUAGAGGUCAUUGGUUCGACCCCAAUUAAGGCCACCA